UACGUAGGGGGCUAGCGUUGUCCGGAAUCAUUGGGCGUAAAGAGCGCGUAGGCGGCCAGAUAAGUCCGGUGUGAAAGUCAAAGGCUCAACCUUUGAAUGCCGCUGGAAACUGUCUGGCUAGAGUCCGGGAGGGGCGAGUGGAAUUCCUGGUGUAGCGGUGAAAUGCGUAGAUAUCGUGAGGAACACCAGAGGCGAAGGCGGCUACCUGGACAAUUGCUGACGCUCAGGCACGAAAGCGUGGGGAGCAAAAGGG
This 253-nucleotide ribosomal RNA is filed under the name uncultured bacterium. RNAcentral describes it as "partial 16S ribosomal RNA". It matches the Rfam family "Bacterial small subunit ribosomal RNA", at positions 524 to 776 of the family's 1533-position model. The record is from RNAcentral.